AGUAACGCGUGGAGAACCUGCCGUAUACUGGGGGAUAACACUUAGAAAUAGGUGCUAAUACCGCAUAAGCGCACAGCUUCGCAUGAAGCAGUGUGAAAAACUCCGGUGGUAUACGAUGGAUCCGCGUCUGAUUAGCUGGUUGGCGGGGUAAAGGCCCACCAAGGCGACGAUCAGUAGCCGGCCUGAGAGGGUGAACGGCCACAUUGGGACUGAGACACGGCCCAGACUCCUACGGGAGGCAGCAG
Molecule: ribosomal RNA, 245 nt
Filed under: uncultured bacterium
Lineage: Bacteria
Description: partial 16S ribosomal RNA
Rfam family: Bacterial small subunit ribosomal RNA
Source: RNAcentral